GGAGUGGAGACUGGUUUUACGACUGGAGUCCCGACUGCAGCGGUCAGAGUCUGCUUUUAAAAGAUGUUUCUCAUCAGAAAUCAUCUGAAGCUGAGCAACUGGAACAUCCUCUCUUUGGGCCUCAUCCAGUAUGGUGGCAGUCCAUAUCAUUUUCAACACUCAACUGUGCUCUUACACAAGUGGCCUCAUCCUGAUGCUUCUUUCAUUACACUGAACAUCAUUGUCUGAACAUCAGCUAUGCGUGUGAGCUGGGUGCCACACUGGAGUUCAUGCAUAGCGAGCUUGGCACGCCCUCACACAACGCAACGCAUCUACCGGAGCCCGUGUAUUGGCGGAACCGCUCUGGUGCUUGAUCAGU
Molecule: long non-coding RNA, 358 nt
Organism: Colossoma macropomum (tambaqui)
Lineage: Eukaryota; Metazoa; Chordata; Actinopteri; Characiformes; Serrasalmidae
Exons: 4
Source: RefSeq, a predicted model, not a curated record